CUCGCGAACAAGCGCAAACGAACAAGACAGUACGCAGGGAAACACAAACGAACGCAGAUGAACUUAAACGAAGACGAAUAAGCACGAACGAACUCAUAGUUGCGCGCAAGAUCCGACUUCUCCAAUGUCUGUUGCCACCGACCUGGGGAUCUGUCCGACCCAAAGUCCAGGUUCCACUGUACUAUCGUCCGUAUUGCACGAUCAUGAACGAACAUAUUUCAUUAUUAUUAACUACUAUUAUCAACGAAUAUAUUGUCGAUGAUUGUUUGUUUGUUUGUCGACUUUGCAUACAGAAAGAAAAACUGGCUACCUUCCUCCGGCAUUAUUUAUAUACCGUGAUAAUUUUGUUUCCAUGCGAACGAAAAACGAACAAAACAUUCCACUUAUUUAUCGCAUCUUUCGUACAUACCAAUCUAUAAUUAAAAGAACACGCCUGUAGCACGAUAACCAUAUAUUUUCAUAAUUCUAUAAUUAUCUAUAAUAUAUUUUCGGUAAUUUCAGUAAAUUUCUGUAUAAUUCAUGCGAUCCGAACCGACAAAAAAAAUGAAGCUGAGAUAACAAUCGGAACAACAUGGAACGCUAUCGCUGCAUAGAUCCGUAUCGUCGGGCACGCUUCUGAAAGAAGCCAUUUAAGCAGAUGAUCUAAAUAGUCUGCGAUAGCUGGCAAGGAAAAAGGUUGACGAAGAAAGAGGAACGCUACGAAUGCUGCAGAAUGUUUGCUGUAGAAUAUAUGUAAUUACGUAACCAAGGGAGUGCAAUAGAAUAGAGUGGAAAAGAUAUUGUACUAUUGGUAGAUAUGUAAGAAAAGAAUUAGACAUAAGUGAUUUAAAACCGAA
Long non-coding RNA from Bombus terrestris (buff-tailed bumblebee), 836 nucleotides. RefSeq lists it as uncharacterized. Lineage: Eukaryota; Metazoa; Arthropoda; Insecta; Hymenoptera; Apidae. The transcript has 3 exons. The record is from RefSeq and is a predicted model, not a curated record.